This is a long non-coding RNA of Rattus norvegicus (Norway rat), 520 nucleotides long. RefSeq lists it as uncharacterized. The record is from RefSeq and is a predicted model, not a curated record. Lineage: Eukaryota; Metazoa; Chordata; Mammalia; Rodentia; Muridae.
CUUAAGAAAAGCUGGACCCCAGCGUCACAUACUUCCCUUGUGUUAGACUGCGCCUUUUCAUCUUCCACCUUGUGACAUCAGCGCGUCCCAGCUGUGUCCCAGGAUGACAUCAGACAAAAAGGAAGACAGGCAACCCUGAAAACAGAGCCAGAAAAGACAAUAUAGGACCUACCCUGGAAGUUCUUCAAAAUGCAAAGUGCAGCAAUCUUAGGACCCAGCAGCUCCACUCCUACCAAUCUACCCAAAAGACAGAAAGAUGUACCACAUGGAAACACACAUGGACAUUCGCAGCUGCAUCGUCCAUGAUAGGCAUGAAUAGAAAUAACCCACGCGGGCUGGAGAGAUGGCUCAGCGGUUAAGAGCACCCGACUACUCUUCCAGAGGUCCUGAGUUCAAUUCCCAGCAACCACAUGGUGGCUCACAACCAUCUGUAAAGAUCUGAUGCCCUCUUCUGGUGUGUCUGAAGAUAGCUACAACUUAUAUAUAAUAAAUGAAUAAAUCUUAAAAAAAAAGAAAGAAA